RNAcentral lists this ribosomal RNA (1080 nucleotides) under Chattonella subsalsa. Its description in RNAcentral is "partial Bacterial large subunit ribosomal RNA". It matches the Rfam family "Bacterial large subunit ribosomal RNA", at positions 4 to 1036 of the family's 2925-position model. The record is from RNAcentral. Lineage: Eukaryota; Raphidophyceae; Chattonellales; Chattonellaceae.
CAAGCUACUAAGGGCAAUCGGUGGAUGCCUAGGCACCAAGAGCCGAUGAAGGACGUUGUGACCUGCGAUAAGCCCUGGGGAGUUGGUGAGCGAGCUGUGAUCCGGGGGUGUCCGAAUGGGGAAACCUGGAAUGUCCGGAGUAGUGUCCGGUGGCCCUGCCCUGAAUGUAUAGGGGUGUGGGUGGUAACGCGGGGAAGUGAAACAUCUUAGUACCCGUAGGAAGAGAAAACAAGUGUGAUUCCGUGAGUAGUGGCGAGCGAAAGCGGAGGAGGCUAAACCGUGUGUGUGUUCAAGCCGGCAGGUGUUGCAUGUGCGGGGUUGUGGGGGCCUUGUGGUUCUGCUGCCGCAGGAUUGGCCAGUGAGAAAUGUUGCGUGAAGGUGAAGCGUCUGGGAAGGCGUACCGGAGUGGGUGAGAGUCCUGUAACUGUAAGCGUGGCACUGGUGUGGGGUUGCCCCGAGUAGCGUGGAACUCGUGGAAUUUCGCGUGAAUCUGGCGGGACCACCCGUCAAGCCUAAAUACUCCUUGGUGACCGAUAGCGGACUAGUACCGUGAGGGAAAGGUGAAAAGUACCCCGGGAGGGGAGUGAAAUAGUACCUGAAACCGUGUGCCUACAAACCGUCGGAGCCCUACAAGGUGACGGCGUGCCUUUUGAAGAAUGAGCCUGCGAGUUAGUGUUACGUCGCGAGGUUAACCCGUGAGGGGUAUCCGUAGCGAAAGCGAGUCUGAACAGGGCGAGUGAGUGGCGUGAUCUAGACCCGAAGCGAAGUGAUCUACCCAUGGCCAGGUUGAAGCGCGUGUAAGAGCGCGUGGAGGACCGAACCCACUUCAGUUGAAAAUGGAGGGGAUGAGCUGUGGGUAGGGGUGAAAGGCUAAACAAACUUGGAAAUAGCUGGUUCUCUCCGAAAACUAUUUAGGUAGUGCCUCACGUAUUACCUUCGGGGGUAGAGCACUGUUUUGGCUAGGGGGUCAUGGCGACUUACCAAACCAAGGCAAACUCCGAAUACCGAAGAGUAGCAGCGUGGGAGACAGUGCACCGGGUGCUAACGUCCGGACACGAGAGGGAAACAACCCAGACCGCC